ACCCCUCUCUGUCUCAUUUCUUUGUCUGUCUAUCUGUCUGUCCCUCUCUCUGUCUCUCUCUGUCUCUCUCUCCUCUCUCGGUGCUCCAUCGCCGCUCUUCUUCGUGGUCGCUGCUAGUCUUCCUCCUUCGCUACUGCUGCGUCAUCGUCAUCGGCCACCCUCGGUGGUUUCAAGAUCCAAAUCGUCUCUCUUUUAUCUCUAUCUGUCUUGUCCCCCCGUUCCCAACACCACCAUCCUCUGCCGUCUCUUCUCAUCCUCCCUGUUACCACUAUUCUCCAUCGCUUUCUCCCUAAGACUGAUGAUGAAUACGAAGCAUGUCGAGAUCUCCAAGAUCAGAGAUCGAUUUACUAAUGACGAGACCAAAGAUCGAUCCAUCUAUGGCUGCGAGAUCUAGUGGGGGCUCUUUCGUAGAUCUAGCUUGUUUCUUUUUCAAUCCGACCAUCUAUGGCUUCGAAAUCUGAUACAACGACUCUCUCUCUCUCUCUUUGGUUUUGAGAUCUGAGACUUUUUUCUCCAUCUAUCGACUUUGUUCAGAGCUUUGAGCACUCGAGGUACGUUUCAUUUUUGUUUUCUCAGUGUUUAGAUCAAUUCUUUGAGUUCUUUUUCAUCUAAUUUGACGCUGUUUCUAUUUGAGUUGUGUGGGGAUGUAUUUAAGGUCGUGCCACGUGGCCGAGGUACCGUCGAGGUGUUAGCCGAUUUGCCACAUAGACGAGCCAAUUUGCUGAGGACGUUGCGGUGUUGCCGAGAUGUGGUGCGGUAAUACCAAAAUUCGAGAUAUUUUGAUAGAUGACAAAAGUCCUAGAUAAGUGAUGUGCUUAGAUCGGAUAAGGAUGAGGCUUUUGAGGAGUUCAUCCAUAUCUAACUAAGAGUUCGAGAUAAGCAUUGUAUUUGAGUCUUAUGAAGUGAGACUUCUAGGGGACGAGGGUAUUGCUGGCUAUAAAAGUAAGGCAUUCCCGUUAGUUGUGCAUUGUUCACUUGUUUGAUAUCUUUGAGAGAUUGUUUGACUAACUUGAUCGUCGGAGUGCAUCUGGGUGGACAAGCCACCACGAUAUUUCUCAAUGUCUUGUGUGCAGGUGUUCGGCUUAAUCUAUUCUGCUAAGUGCUCUCCAGCUAAGUUCCUUAGAUCUCGGCAAAGGGAUCUAUUUGGUUGUGAGGAGGGAGGUCUAACUGCAAAGAUGGCGUAGUGGGAGCUAACUGUGCAAGACCAUGAUCAGUGAUUGUAGAAGGACAUUUCGAUGGUUAGAAGCCCACUUCGACUGUUAUCUUUAGAAAGUAUAAAUAGAAGAGAACGUCAUCAGAAGGAGGACCCAGACUCAGAUCCAGAAACUAAUCAUUUACUUCAUAUUUUAUUUCCAGUUUUACAUUCCCAGUUCUUUACAUUUCCAGUUCUUCAAUUCUUGUACUACACUUCAUUUUCUAGGAGUAGUUUCAAGUAGUUGCUGCUAUAAACCUUUUCAAGGCUGGGUCAUUUCAUUGUAAGUUCUUAUUUACUUAAUGAAAUUUAGUUUUUGAACUA
This is a non-coding RNA of Camellia sinensis, 1516 nucleotides long. The record is from RefSeq and is a predicted model, not a curated record. Lineage: Eukaryota; Viridiplantae; Streptophyta; Magnoliopsida; Ericales; Theaceae.